GUCCCGGUAGCUCCAACGGUAGAGCGCCCGACUACAGCCGGUAUGUGCUGGUUCGAUUCCAGCCCGGGACA
RNAcentral lists this transfer RNA (71 nucleotides) under Bifidobacterium dentium. RNAcentral's name for it is "tRNA-OTHER". It matches the Rfam family "tRNA". Rfam says of the family: Transfer RNA (tRNA) molecules are approximately 80 nucleotides in length. Their secondary structure includes four short double-helical elements and three loops (D, anti-codon, and T loops). Further hydrogen bonds mediate the characteristic L-shaped molecular structure. tRNAs have two regions of fundamental functional importance: the anti-codon, which is responsible for specific mRNA codon recognition, and the 3' end, to which the tRNAs corresponding amino acid is attached (by aminoacyl-tRNA synthetases). tRNAs cope with the degeneracy of the genetic code in two manners: having more than one tRNA (with a specific anti-codon) for a particular amino acid; and 'wobble' base-pairing, i.e. permitting non-standard base-pairing at the 3rd anti-codon position. The record is from RNAcentral. Lineage: Bacteria; Bacillati; Actinomycetota; Actinomycetes; Bifidobacteriales; Bifidobacteriaceae.